Molecule: ribosomal RNA, 432 nt
Filed under: uncultured bacterium
Lineage: Bacteria
Description: bacterial SSU rRNA
Rfam family: Bacterial small subunit ribosomal RNA
Source: RNAcentral
GUGGGGAAUAUUGCACAAUGGGCGCAAGCCUGAUGCAGCAACGCCGCGUGAGGGAUGACGGCCUUCGGGUUGUAAACCUCUUUUAGUAGGGAAGAAGCCUUCGGGUGACGGUACCUGCAGAAAAAGCACCGGCUAACUACGUGCCAGCAGCCGCGGUAAUACGUAGGGUGCAAGCGUUGUCCGGAAUUAUUGGGCGUAAAGAGCUCGUAGGCGGCUUGUCGCGUCUGCUGUGAAAACCCGAGGCUCAACCUCGGGCCUGCAGUGGGUACGGGCAAGCUAGAGUGCGGUAGGGGAGAUUGGAAUUCCUGGUGUAGCGGUGGAAUGCGCAGAUAUCAGGAGGAACACCGAUGGCGAAGGCAGAUCUCUGGGCCGUAACUGACGCUGAGGAGCGAAAGCAUGGGGAGCGAACAGGAUUAGAUACCCCGGUAGUCC